UAAUACCGCAUACGCUCUACGGAGGAAAGGGGGGGAUCUUAGGACCUCCCGCUACAGGGGCGGCCGAUGGCAGAUUAGCUAGUUGGUGGGGUAAAGGCCUACCAAGGCGACGAUCUGUAGCUGGUCUGAGAGGACGACCAGCCACACUGGGACUGAGACACGGCCCAGACUCCUACGGGAGGCAGCAGUGGGGAAUUUUGGACAAUGGGCGAAAGCCUGAUCCAGCAAUGCCGCGUGUGUGAAGAAGGCCUUCGGGUUGUAANGCACUUUUGUCCGGAAAGAAAACCUCCGCCCUAAUAUGGUGGGGGGAUGACGGUACCGGAAGAAUAAGCACCGGCUAACUACGUGCCAGCAGCCGCGGUAAUACGUAGGGUGCAAGCGUUAAUCGGAAUUACUGGGCGUAAAGCGUGCGCAGGCGGUCCGCUAAGACAGAUGUGAAAUCCCCGGGCUUAACCUGGGAACUGCAUUUGUGACUG
RNAcentral lists this ribosomal RNA (476 nucleotides) under uncultured Burkholderia sp. RNAcentral describes it as "bacterial SSU rRNA". It matches the Rfam family "Bacterial small subunit ribosomal RNA", at positions 164 to 635 of the family's 1533-position model. Lineage: Bacteria; Pseudomonadati; Pseudomonadota; Betaproteobacteria; Burkholderiales; Burkholderiaceae. The record is from RNAcentral.